GGCAUUUAAUAUAGCUAUGGCCGAAAGAGUGCCUUCCGGCAUAGUAAUUUUUUUUUAAAUUCCAAUUCCCUAAUUUGCUCCAUUAUUUUUGGCCAAAUUCGAAGUUUGAAUUUCAUUCAAACUCCCAACUGAUCAGCAGCCUUAUCCACCUGCUUGCACCGCUUCAGCAUUCUGCCAAGAGUCCUGGUCAGACCUCAAUUCCUUCCCCACGCUUGCAGCAAAAAUCAGAUCCUUGCACGCGCGAACUGCAUCUCGAACCCCAAACCUCCGUCCGCCUUGCACCCACGCCCAUGCAACUGGCCACUGCACCAUGCCUCCUUCCUUACUAAUAUAUGGUAACAAUUAAUUAUAAACCUUACCUGCUUCAGUUCUGGCCCACAUUAAAAAUU
RNAcentral lists this long non-coding RNA (389 nucleotides) under Gossypium barbadense (sea-island cotton). RNAcentral's name for it is "long non-coding RNA (GBAR_LNC001600)". The record is from RNAcentral. Lineage: Eukaryota; Viridiplantae; Streptophyta; Magnoliopsida; Malvales; Malvaceae.